Long non-coding RNA from Serinus canaria (Common canary), 766 nucleotides. RefSeq lists it as uncharacterized. NCBI's taxonomy places the organism in Eukaryota, Metazoa, Chordata, Aves, Passeriformes, Fringillidae. The record is from RefSeq and is a predicted model, not a curated record. The transcript has 3 exons.
UUUAAUCAAUACCUUCAUUGAUGAUCUGGAUGAGAUCAGGCAAACCAUGGGACUUGAUGCCCUCAUUGGUUUGAUAUUUUAAUCAAUAUCUUCAUUGAUGAUCUGGAUGGGGGCACCAAGGUCAGGCUGACCAUGGGACUUGAUGCCCUCAUUGAUUUGAUAUUUUAAUUAAUACCUUCAUUGAUGAUCUGGAUGAGAUCAGGCAAAUCAUGGAACUCGAUACCACUCAUUGAUUUGAUAUUUUUAGUCAAUAUCUUCAUUGAUGAUCUGGAUGAGAUCAGGCUGACCAUGGGGUUUGAUAUUAUUAGUCAAUGUCUUCAUUGAUGAUCUGGAUGAGAUCAGGCUGACAAUGGGAUUGAUAUUUUUAAGUCAAUAUCUUCAUUGAUGAUCUUGAUGGGGUCACCAAGAUCAGGCUGGACCAUGGACUUGAUACCCUCAUUGAUUUGAUAUUUUAAUCAAUAUCUUCAUUGAUGAUCUGGAUGGGGUCACCGAGGUCAAGGUGACCAUGGGACUUGAUGCCCUCAUUGAUUUGAUAUUUUUAAUCAAUAUCUUCAUUGAUGAUCUGGAUGGGGUCACCAAGAUCAGGCUGACCAUGGGACUUGAUACCCUCAUUGAUUUGAUAUUUUUAAUCAAUAUCUUCAUUGAUGAUCUGGAUGGGAUCACUGAAGUCAAGGUGACCAUGGGACUUGAUGCCCUCAUUGAUUUGAUAUUUUCAAUCAAUAUCUUCAUCAAUUAUCAGGUGGCAUCAGACUGACCAUGGGACUUG